GACGAACGCUGGCGGCGUGCCUAACACAUGCAAGUCGAACGGAGAUACUUUUGAGGAGACUUCGGUCAACGAGACUGUAUCUUAGUGGCGGACGGGUGAGUAACGCGUGAGCAAUCUGCCUUUCAGAGGGGGACAACAGUUGGAAACGACUGCUAAUACCGCAUAACGCGUAGAGAUCGCAUGGUCUUUACGCCAAAGAUUUAUCGCUGAAAGAUGGCCUCGCGUCUGAUUAGCUAGAUGGCGGGGUAACGGCCCACCAUGGCGACGAUCAGUAGCCGGUCUGAGAGGAUGAACGGCCACAUUGGGACUGAGAUACGGCCCAGACUCCUACGGGAGGCAGCAGUGGGGAAUAUUGGGCAAUGGGCGAAAGCCUGACCCAGCAACGCCGCGUGAAGGAAGAAGGCCUUCGGUUGUAAACUUACUUUACCUAGGGACGAAGAACGUGACGGUACCUCGGAGAAAAAGACAACGGCGUAACUACGUAG
Molecule: ribosomal RNA, 485 nt
Filed under: uncultured bacterium
Lineage: Bacteria
Description: bacterial SSU rRNA
Rfam family: Bacterial small subunit ribosomal RNA
Source: RNAcentral